This 911-nucleotide ribosomal RNA is filed under the name uncultured marine archaeon. RNAcentral's name for it is "bacterial SSU rRNA". It matches the Rfam family "Archaeal small subunit ribosomal RNA", at positions 1 to 919 of the family's 1478-position model. The record is from RNAcentral.
UCCGGUUGAUCCUGCCGGAGGCUACCGCUAUUGGAGUUCGAUUAAGCCAUGCGAGUCGCGAGAAAUUAGAUUCUCGGCGUACCGCUCAGUAACACGUGGGUAACCUGCCCUAUGCUGGAUAAUAACCUCGGGAAACUGAGAAUAAUGAUCCAUAGUUCACUACGCCUGGAACGGUGAGUGGAUGAAAGCUCCGGCGGCAUAGGAUGGGCCUGCGGCGUAUCAGGUUGUAGGGGGUGUAACGUACCCUCUAGCCCUCUACGCGUACGGGUGUUGGGAGACAUAGCCCGGAGAUGGAUUCUGAGACACGAAUCCAGACCCUACGGGGUGCAGCAGGCGCGAAAACUUGGCAAUGCGAGAAAUCGUGACCAGGGAACUCCAAGUGCAUGGGGUAAGACCCAUGCUUUUCUUGACUCUAAAUAGGUCUUGGAAUAAGGGGUGGGUAAGGACGGUGCCAGCCGCCGCGGUAAUACCGGCGCCUCAAGUGGUAGUCGCUUUUAUUGGGCCUAAAACGUCCGUAGCCGGUCUGAUACAUUCGUGGGUAAAUCAACCAGCUUAACUGGUUGAAUUCUGCGAGGACGGUCAGACUUGGGACCGGGAGAGGUGUGGGGUACGCUCAGGGUAGGGGUAAAAUCCUGUCAUCCUGAGCGGACCACCUGUUGCGAAGGCGCCACACUAGAACGGAUCCGACGGUCAGGGACGAAGCCUAGGGGCACGAACCGGAUUAGAUACCCGGGUAGUCCUAGGUGUAAACGCUGUGGACUUGAUGUUGGGGGUGCUCCGAGCACUCUCAGUGUCGAAGCGAAGGUGAUAAGUCCACUGCCUGGGAAGUACGGUCGCAAGGCUGAAACUUAAGGAAUUGGCGGGGGAGCACCGCAACCUGAGGAUUGUGCGGUUUAAUUGGAUUCAACGCC